RNAcentral lists this ribosomal RNA (387 nucleotides) under uncultured bacterium. RNAcentral describes it as "bacterial SSU rRNA". It matches the Rfam family "Bacterial small subunit ribosomal RNA", at positions 28 to 417 of the family's 1533-position model. The record is from RNAcentral.
GACGAACGCUGGCGGCGUGCUUAACACAUGCAAGUCGAGCGGUAAGGCCCUUUCGGGGGUACACGAGCGGCGAACGGGUGAGUAACACGUGGGUGACCUGCCCUCAGCUCUGGGAUAAGCCUGGGAAACUGGGUCUAAUACUGGAUAUGACUCCACGGUGCAUGUCGUGGGGUGGAAAGCCCUGUGCGGCUGAGGAUGGGCCCGCGGCCUAUCAGCUUGUUGGUGGGGUGANGGCCUACCAAGGCGACGACGGGUAGCCGGCCUGAGAGGGCGACCGGCCACACUGGGACUGAGAUACGGCCCAGACUCCUACGGGAGGCAGCAGUGGGGAAUAUUGCGCAAUGGGCGGAAGCCUGACGCAGCGACGCCGCGUGGGGAUGACGGCCU